RNAcentral lists this ribosomal RNA (731 nucleotides) under Klebsiella sp. Its description in RNAcentral is "bacterial SSU rRNA". It matches the Rfam family "Bacterial small subunit ribosomal RNA", at positions 59 to 781 of the family's 1533-position model. Lineage: Bacteria; Pseudomonadati; Pseudomonadota; Gammaproteobacteria; Enterobacterales; Enterobacteriaceae. The record is from RNAcentral.
CAGUCGAGCGGUAGCACAGAGAGCUUGCUCUCGGGUGACGAGCGGCGGACGGGUGAGUAAUGUCUGGGAAACUGCCUGAUGGAGGGGGAUAACUACUGGAAACGGUAGCUAAUACCGCAUAACGUCGCAAGACCAAAGUGGGGGACCUUCGGGCCUCAUGCCAUCAGAUGUGCCCAGAUGGGAUUAGCUGGUAGGUGGGGUAACGGCUCACCUAGGCGACGAUCCCUAGCUGGUCUGAGAGGAUGACCAGCCACACUGGAACUGAGACACGGUCCAGACUCCUACGGGAGGCAGCAGUGGGGAAUAUUGCACAAUGGGCGCAAGCCUGAUGCAGCCAUGCCGCGUGUGUGAAGAAGGCCUUCGGGUUGUAAAGCACUUUCAGCGGGGAGGAAGGCGAUGAGGUUAAUAACCUUGUCGAUUGACGUUACCCGCAGAAGAAGCACCGGCUAACUCCGUGCCAGCAGCCGCGGUAAUACGGAGGGUGCAAGCGUUAAUCGGAAUUACUGGGCGUAAAGCGCACGCAGGCGGUCUGUCAAGUCGGAUGUGAAAUCCCCGGGCUCAACCUGGGAACUGCAUUCGAAACUGGCAGGCUAGAGUCUUGUAGAGGGGGGUAGAAUUCCAGGUGUAGCGGUGAAAUGCGUAGAGAUCUGGAGGAAUACCGGUGGCGAAGGCGGCCCCCUGGACAAAGACUGACGCUCAGGUGCGAAAGCGUGGGGAGCAAACAGGAUUAG